Non-coding RNA from Aedes aegypti (yellow fever mosquito), 115 nucleotides. The record is from Rfam. NCBI's taxonomy places the organism in Eukaryota, Metazoa, Arthropoda, Insecta, Diptera, Culicidae.
UGUCCAGUAACUCCUAUCCCUACCUCCCCGUGGUGCCGCAUGGGGUAUGAGUAACCGUAGGAAAGAUCGGUUAACCAACCCCGAUGGGACCUUGGUCGUAUGCUGACAGGGAAGG